AAAAAGUAUGAGAGAGAGUGAUGAAAAGUUAUGUAAAAAUCUGAUAAUGAUGAGUGAUUAAGGAAAAAAGAGUGGUUAAGAAUGGUUUAAGUGGGUGGGGCCCACAAAAAUUUAAAAUUUUCAAAAAAAAAAUCAAAAAUUUCGCACGCCUGACACUGCCGUGUCAGCUGACACGGGUGGCCGUGUCAGGCUACUGUUUUUAGCAUUUUCCCAACUUCUUUUACAUUGGUCCUAACACGGGCCGUGUCAGCUGACACGGC
Molecule: long non-coding RNA, 260 nt
Filed under: Lathyrus oleraceus (garden pea)
Lineage: Eukaryota; Viridiplantae; Streptophyta; Magnoliopsida; Fabales; Fabaceae
Description: Pisum sativum (pea) long non-coding RNA (PSAT_LNC039077)
Source: RNAcentral